RNAcentral lists this ribosomal RNA (388 nucleotides) under uncultured Pseudomonadota bacterium. RNAcentral describes it as "bacterial SSU rRNA". It matches the Rfam family "Bacterial small subunit ribosomal RNA", at positions 414 to 794 of the family's 1533-position model. Lineage: Bacteria; Pseudomonadati; Pseudomonadota. The record is from RNAcentral.
GCCUUCGGGUUGUAAAGCACUUUUGUCCGGAAAGAAAUCCUUCAGUUUAAUACGCUGAAGGGAUGACGGUACCGGAAGAAUAAGCACCGGCUAACUUCGUGCCAGCAGCCGCGGUAAUACGAAGGGUGCAAGCGUUACUCGGAAUUCCAGGGCGUAAAGCGUGCUUAGGUGGUUGGUUAAGUCUGAUGUGAAAUCCCCGGGCUCAACCUGGGAACUGCAUUUGUGACUGCAUAACUAGAGUACGGUAGAGGGGGAUGGAAUUCCCCGUGUAGCAGUGAAAUGCGUAAAUAUGCGGAGGAACACCGAUGGCGAAGGCAAUCCCCUGGACCUGUACUGACACUCAUGCACGAAAGCGUGGGGAGCAAACAUGAUUAGAUACCCUGGUAGA